CCGAGCCCCGGCCCCGCGCCCCGACGGCCGGCCAGAGCAGCCCCAUGGCGGAGCAGGUGGCCCUGGUGAUUGGGGGCAUCCUUGGGGGGCUGCUGCUGCUGCUGUUGAUCGGGGUGAGCUGCUAUCUCUGGAAGAGGCUUUGUGCCACGUUCACCUAUGAGGAGCUGUCAGGGACCACGGCUGCCUCCAGCACACAGGGGGACAAGCUCUGCCCGCCCGAUGCCAGGACCCAGGCAAGCAGGCCACCAGGUGUACCAUUUGUGGUGCCCCCUUCCCUCCAAAGCCGAGACCAGGUGGCCCUGAGCAGCAGAGAGUGGGCCCAGGCCCCACGGGACCCCUGCCCAGCCCCAGAGCUCCUGCCCCACGCCACUGGCAGCAGUUUCGGAGAGGCGUGCCCGGUGGGGACCAUCAACCCAGAGCUCUACAAGAUCCUGGAGGACAAAAGUGAGACGGACGUCCCUGAGGGCUGCCUGGGGCGGCUGUGGUUCUCCGUGGAAUACCAGCGGGAGGCCGAGCGGCUGCUGGUGGGCCUGAUCAAGGCGCAGCGGCUGCAAGCCCCCUCAGAGGCCUGUAGACCCCUGGUGAAGCUCCACCUGCUGCCAGAUGAGCGGCGCUUCCUCCAGUCCAAGACCAAAUGCAGAACCAACAGCCCACAGUUCGACGAGCACUUCAUCUUUCAGGUGUCCAGCAAGAGUGUCACUCAGAGGGUGCUGAGGUUCUCAGUGUACCACGUGGACAGGCAGGGGAAACACCAGCUUCUGGGCCAGGUGCUGUUCCCCCUGAAGAAGGAGACCCUGGCGGGUGACUGCCCGCGCAUCAUCUGGAGAGACCUGGAGGCCGAGAACCUGGAGCCUCCCUCCGAGUUUGGCGACCUCCAGUUCUGCCUCAGCUACAACGACCGCCUGAACCGCCUCACCGUGGUCGUGCUGAGAGCCAAGGGUCUCCAGCUCCAGGAGGACAUGAGUUUUGUCACAGCUGUGAGUAAUGGGGUCCUGGCGCCCAGGCGGGGCACGUGCCCUCCCAGCCCAACCUCCCACAGGCUGGAGGUUGGGCCCCUGCCCGCCCCUCCCAGCCCGCACUCGGCACUGCCCCCCAGGUGUGUUCGUCAAAGUGUCUCUGAUGAACCACAACAAGUUUGUCAAGUGCAAGAAGACUUCGGCUGUUCUGGGCUCCACCAACCCUGUGUACAACGAGACCUUCAGCUUCAAGGCUGACCCCGCCGAGCUGGACACUGCGAGCCUCAGCCUGACAGUGCUGCAGAGUGCCGAAGGGGACAGUAAGGCUGCUCCCUCACCCUCAGGCCACUGGGGCAUGGGCAAAGGGAGCCACGAGCUGGGCCGGCUGGUGGUUGGCCCCUACAUGUACACCCGUGGCAAAGAGCUGGAGCACUGGAAUGAGAUGCUUAGCAAACCCAAGGAGCUGGUGAGGCGCUGGCAUGCUCUCUGCCGCACCACUGAGCCCUGACCCCAGCAGGGCCCUGGGCCCUGCACCCAGCAUCUCACUGGGCUGCGAGGCCAGGCUGAGCCGGGGGAACACGAGUGCUCACGUGCAGGAGAGCAGAGGAGACAAGAGAGCCCCGGCCAGGGCAGUGGUGUGGCCCGUGGGUUACAUCUCCACCAGCCCGAGAGGCCUUCCUGACUCAUUCAGUCCUUCUUUACCCGCGGACUGCCUGGGCUUAGCCUCCUGGCUCCUGGUCAUCUCAGUCUCGAAUUGGACCGGAAUCUCAGACCUUGGGAGGAAAUAGUCUCUGUAGUGAAAGCGUAGCUGUGCAUGCCGUGUGGAGUGCAGAGGAAACUUGGAAAGCUGAUGAUGUGUUGAUGCUGAGCCUACACUUUUUUCUGCUGUGGUUUCUCUGCCUUCUGCCUGGUAGAGAAAACAGACUGCCCGAAGUGUUUAUUUCACUUGGUUCACAAUAACUAGCACAGUCUGAGAACUGGGUUCAGCGUGCAGGUGUGGAACAGUCCCAGGAUGCCUGGGCAGCUCGGCUUGGGAGAAGGCUUCUGGGGAUUAUGACUCGCUGGCUUCACACCUGCAGGAGAAGCAGCCCGCCCAGGUACCAAGUGGUGGACAGGUCCUGGGCGUCCACUCCUGGAGCUCUCACUUUGGGCAAGAAAUGGUGAGAACACGUGGCCAAAAGCCCAUAGGGCCAAAACCUCUUCCUGUAAACCUAGCAAUUCCAUUAUGAUUAUUGUGUUGUGGUAGGUGUCGGUGAAAAUUUCACUAAGAUGGAAGUUCCCACAAACCACGGUCAUCAACUCCCCGUGAAAAUGUACUCAAGGUCACCAGCAGCCCUUAUGCUUGUCACUGUUAAUUUAUCAGGUAGUUUGUAUUUUCACCUGAAUGCUACUAAACUUGCAGAUUCAAGUCUCGUUACUAUGUAACUAUACUGGUAACUUAAAACUGUAUCUUGGUAUAUCUUCUCUUUUCUUACAAAGUGAAGCAAGGGAAGCAACUUCUGCAAAAGAAAGUAGUGGUGAAUGCUGCACUAGGUUUGUGCCUCUCCUCCUUGACUUCACUGCCAAUCUCUGUCAAUGCACAAAUACAAGCUUUGCUGGCAGUGGUCCAU
Hippopotamus amphibius kiboko is the source of this 2566-nucleotide RNA transcript. It is a transcript of the gene named synaptotagmin-15-like, with no coding region annotated. The record is from RefSeq and is a predicted model, not a curated record. The transcript is spliced from 8 exons. Lineage: Eukaryota; Metazoa; Chordata; Mammalia; Artiodactyla; Hippopotamidae.